GCAUUAAUGGGGUAGUGGUAACCUGGGUCGUUGCCAUUGGAAAGUCCUACAUAAGCUCGACCCGCCGGGGGUUCGAUUCCCCCUUAAUGCA
Moniliophthora roreri is the source of this 91-nucleotide non-coding RNA. The record is from Rfam. Lineage: Eukaryota; Fungi; Basidiomycota; Agaricomycetes; Agaricales; Marasmiaceae.